This 168-nucleotide ribosomal RNA is filed under the name Listeria monocytogenes. RNAcentral's name for it is "partial 16S ribosomal RNA". It matches the Rfam family "Bacterial small subunit ribosomal RNA", at positions 1 to 163 of the family's 1533-position model. The record is from RNAcentral. Lineage: Bacteria; Bacillati; Bacillota; Bacilli; Caryophanales; Listeriaceae.
UUUAAAGAGAGUUUGAUCCUGGCUCAGGACGAACGCUGGCGGCGUGCCUAAUACAUGCAAGUCGAACGAACGGAGGAAGAGCUUGCUCUUCCAAAGUUAGUGGCGGACGGGUGAGUAACACGUGGGCAACCUGCCUGUAAGUUGGGGAUAACUCCGGGAAACCGGGGC